This 460-nucleotide ribosomal RNA is filed under the name uncultured bacterium. RNAcentral's name for it is "partial 16S ribosomal RNA". It matches the Rfam family "Bacterial small subunit ribosomal RNA", at positions 338 to 795 of the family's 1533-position model. The record is from RNAcentral.
CCUACGGGGGGCAGCAGUGAGGAAUAUUGGUCAAUGGACGAGAGUCUGAACCAGCCAAGUAGCGUGAAGGAUGACUGCCCUAUGGGUUGUAAACUUCUUUUAUCUGGGAAUAAAAUGUUCCACGUGUGGGAUUUUGUAUGUCCCAUAUGAUUAAGGAUCGGCUAACUCCGUGCCAGCAGCCGCGGUAAUACGGAGGAUCCGAGCGUUAUCCGGAUUUAUUGGGUUUAAGGGGAGCGUAGGUGGAUUGUUAAGUCAGUUGUGAAAGUUUGCGGCUCAAGCGUAAAAGUGCAGUUGAAACUGGCAGUCUGGAGUACAGUAGAGGUGGGCGGAAUGCGUGGUGUAGCGGUGAAAUGCUUAGAUAUCACGAAGAACUCCGAUUGCGAAGGCAGCUCACUGGACUGCAACUGACACUGAGGCUCGAAAGUGUGGGUAUCAAACAGGAUUAGAUACCCGAGUAGUC